Molecule: long non-coding RNA, 339 nt
Filed under: Mustela putorius furo (domestic ferret)
Lineage: Eukaryota; Metazoa; Chordata; Mammalia; Carnivora; Mustelidae
Description: lncRNA (ENSMPUG00000025983.1)
Source: RNAcentral
AAUCAUGGGGAGAGAGGACGUAAGUGGUUUUUUGUUUUGUUUUGUUUUAUUUGCAGUGUGUGCUGCCAUUAUCAUGGUCGUCAUUAGCAUUUAUUAACAGCGUACUUUUAUUGAGUCCUUAUUUUAAACCGAGCACUGUGAUGGAGUCUUUUGAGGAUGCUUUUCUUAAGACGAACAGGACCUUUUAUGAAAUUUAAAAAGGACCCAACCUUCCUGCUUGGAGUGGAGUUGUGGUGAACAUGAAUCAUGAGGAGCCAGUCACAUACAGCCCAGGGCUUAGUCCCGGCUGCCACUUGUCAUAGGCUCUGGGUCAUUUUGGUCCUGGUGAUGAUGAUGUGA